UGCAAGACUGUGGAGACUGGAGAGGGACUGAAGGGACAAUUGACUAGAGAGAGACUGGUCGUGGACUGAGGACUGAGGAGACCCAGGAGAUUGAGAGACCGAGUGAGGCAGAGAGCUGGUAGGAAGUGCUAGAGUGAAAGUGAGCAGUGACUGGCAAACUGCGGCGACUGGCGAGACAAGAGUGACUAUGGAUGGAGGAAGGACUGAAAGCAAGUGAGGCUGAGCCGCUGAGGGACAAAGGCUCGACGGCCG
This 252-nucleotide long non-coding RNA is filed under the name Manihot esculenta (cassava). RNAcentral describes it as "long non-coding RNA (MESC_LNC006107)". The record is from RNAcentral. Lineage: Eukaryota; Viridiplantae; Streptophyta; Magnoliopsida; Malpighiales; Euphorbiaceae.